This 497-nucleotide ribosomal RNA is filed under the name uncultured bacterium. RNAcentral's name for it is "partial 16S ribosomal RNA". It matches the Rfam family "Bacterial small subunit ribosomal RNA", at positions 28 to 507 of the family's 1533-position model. The record is from RNAcentral.
GAUGAACGCUGGCGGCGUGCCUAAUACAUGCAAGUCGAACGAACAGACGAGGAGCUUGCUCCCCUGACGUUAGCGGCAGGCGGGUGAGUAACGCGUGGAUACCCUACCUGUAAUACUGGGAUAACUUCGGGAAACCGGCGCAUAUCGCGUAUGAUCUCUUGAUCCACGUGGUGGGAUGGUGAGAGACGGUGUUUCUGUCUGUUAUAGCUGGAUACGGGCCGCAUGAGGUAGUUGGUAAGGUAACAGCUUACCAAGGGAAGGAUGCGUAACCGACCGGAGAGGGGGAUCGGCCGCAUGGGAACGGAGACAGGGUCCUGACUCCUAAGGGAGGGAGCAGUAGCGAACCGUCCGCAACGGGCGAAAGCCUUACGGAGCAACGCCGCGUGAGUGAUGAAGGUGUUCGGAGCGGAAAACUCUGUUAUGAGUGAAGAACAAAUGUGUAAGUAACUAUGCACGUCUUGACGGUACCGAAUCAGAAAGCCACGGCUAACUACGUG